GACGAACGCUGGCGGCGUGCUUAACACAUGCAAGUCGAACGGAAAGGCCCAGCUUGCUGGGUGCUCGAGUGGCGAACGGGUGAGUAACACGUGGGUGAUCUGCCCCUAACUUCGGGUGAAGCUUGGGAAACUGGGUCUAAUACCGGAUAGAACAAUCGUUGAGUGGCGGUUGUGGAAAGUGUUUGCGGGUAGGGAUGAGCCCGCUGGCUAUCAGCUUGUUGGUGGGGUAAUGUUCUACCAAGGCGGCGUCGGGUAGCCGGCCUGAGAGGGUGGACGGCCACAUUGGGACUGAGAUAGGGCCCAGACUCCUACGGGAGGCAGUAGUGGGGAAUAUUGCACAAUGGGCGCAAGCGUGAUGCAGCGACGCCGCGUGGGGGAUGACGGCCUUCGGGUUGUAAACCUCUUUCGACAGGGACGAAGCUUUGGUGACGGUACCUGUAUAAGAAGCACCGGCUAACUACGUG
Molecule: ribosomal RNA, 464 nt
Filed under: uncultured bacterium
Lineage: Bacteria
Description: partial 16S ribosomal RNA
Rfam family: Bacterial small subunit ribosomal RNA
Source: RNAcentral